This 119-nucleotide ribosomal RNA is filed under the name Brachypodium distachyon (stiff brome). The record is from RNAcentral. Lineage: Eukaryota; Viridiplantae; Streptophyta; Magnoliopsida; Poales; Poaceae.
GGAUGCAAUCAUACCAGCACUAAAGCAUCGGAUCCCAUCAAAACUCUGAAGUUAAGCAUGCUUGGGCGAGAGUAGUACUAGGAUGGGUGACCUCCUGGAAAGUCCUCGUGUUGCAUUCC